CGCGGCGACCGGGCGGCUCCCGGACCUCCGGCUCAUACCCAGGGGUGUCGCGGGUUCGACUCCCGCCGUCGCGU
RNAcentral lists this transfer RNA (74 nucleotides) under Microbacterium sp. RNAcentral describes it as "tRNA-Met". RNAcentral also lists the same sequence under 2 other names. Lineage: Bacteria; Bacillati; Actinomycetota; Actinomycetes; Micrococcales; Microbacteriaceae. The record is from RNAcentral.